Molecule: unclassified non-coding RNA, 224 nt
Filed under: plant metagenome
Description: partial contains small subunit ribosomal RNA, internal transcribed spacer 1, and 5.8S ribosomal RNA
Source: RNAcentral
UCUCCGUUGGUAAACCAGCGGAGGGAUCAUUACAGGACUCGCAAGACUCCUUCACCCUGUGAACCUCACUACAAGCACGUUGCUUCGGCGGGUGUCCCGGCGGGGGUUUUCCCUCGCCGGGGCGCACAGCCCGCCGGCAGCCUACUAUACUCUGUCUCUUUGCGUUGGCAUCUCGAGAAAAAACAAACAAGUUAAAACUUUCAACAACGGAUCUCUUGGUUCUG